GUGGGGAAUAUUGGACAAUGGGCGAAAGCCUGAUCCAGCCAUGCCGCGUGUGUGAAGAAGGUCUUCGGAUUGUAAAGCACUUUAAGUUGGGAGGAAGGGCAGUAAGUUAAUACCUUGCUGUUUUGACGUUACCGACAGAAUAAGCACCGGCUAACUCCGUGCCAGCAGCCGCGGUAAUACGAAGGGUGCAAGCGUUAAUCGGAAUUACUGGGCGUAAAGCGCGCGUAGGUGGUUUUGUAAGUUGGAGGUGAAAUCCCCGGGCUCAACCUGGGAACUGCCUCCAAAACUGCAUGACUAGAGUACGGGAGAGGGUAGUGGAAUUUCCUGUGUAGCGGUGAAAUGCGUAGAUAUAGGAAGGAACACCAGUGGCGAAGGCGACUACCUGGACUGAUACUGACACUGAGGUGCGAAAGCGUGGGGAGCAAACAGGAUUAGAUACCCCGGUAGUCC
Molecule: ribosomal RNA, 450 nt
Filed under: uncultured bacterium
Lineage: Bacteria
Description: partial 16S ribosomal RNA
Rfam family: Bacterial small subunit ribosomal RNA
Source: RNAcentral